RNAcentral lists this transfer RNA (75 nucleotides) under Polyangium sp. 6x1. Its description in RNAcentral is "tRNA-Asn". It matches the Rfam family "tRNA". From Rfam's summary of the family: Transfer RNA (tRNA) molecules are approximately 80 nucleotides in length. Their secondary structure includes four short double-helical elements and three loops (D, anti-codon, and T loops). Further hydrogen bonds mediate the characteristic L-shaped molecular structure. tRNAs have two regions of fundamental functional importance: the anti-codon, which is responsible for specific mRNA codon recognition, and the 3' end, to which the tRNAs corresponding amino acid is attached (by aminoacyl-tRNA synthetases). tRNAs cope with the degeneracy of the genetic code in two manners: having more than one tRNA (with a specific anti-codon) for a particular amino acid; and 'wobble' base-pairing, i.e. permitting non-standard base-pairing at the 3rd anti-codon position. The record is from RNAcentral. Lineage: Bacteria; Pseudomonadati; Myxococcota; Polyangiales; Polyangiaceae.
UUCAACGUAGCUCAAGCCCGGUAGAGCACUCGCCUGUUAAGUGAGAGGAUGGGGGUUCGAAUCCCUCCGUUGGAG